This 497-nucleotide ribosomal RNA is filed under the name uncultured bacterium. Its description in RNAcentral is "partial 16S ribosomal RNA". It matches the Rfam family "Bacterial small subunit ribosomal RNA", at positions 28 to 507 of the family's 1533-position model. The record is from RNAcentral.
GAUGAACGCUGGCGGCGUGCCUAAUACAUGCAAGUCGAGCGAACGGACGAGAAGCUUGCUUCUCUGAUGUUAGCGGCGGACGGGUGAGUAACACGUGGAUAACCUACCUAUAAGACUGGGAUAACUUCGGGAAACCGUAGCUAAUACCGGAUAAUAUUUUGAACCGCAUGGUUCAAAAGUGAAAGACGGUCUUGCUGUCACUUAUAGGUGGAUCCGCGCUGCAUUAGCUAGUUGGUAAGGUAACGGCUUACCAAGGCAACGAUGCAUAGCCGACCUGAGAGGGUGAUCGGCCACACUGGAACUGAGACACGGUCCAGACUCCUACGGGAGGCAGCAGUAGGGAAUCUUCCGCAAUGGGCGAAAGCCUGACGGAGCAACGCCGCGUGAGUGAUGAAGGUCUUCGGAUCGUAAAACUCUGUUAUCAGGGAAGAACAUAUGUGUAAGUAACUGUGCACAUCUUGACGGUACCUAAUCAGAAAGCCACGGCUAACUACGUG